AGUGACGGUUAACGGGGGAUUAGGGUUCGAUUCCGGAGAGGGAGCCUGAGAAACGGCUACCACAUCUAAGGAAGGCAGCAGGCGCGCAAAUUACCCAAUUCUAACAGCAUAAGAGAGGUAGUGACAAGAAAUAACAAUACAAGGUAAUUAAAUUGCUUUGUAAUUGGAAUGAUAGAAAUUUAAACACUUUUUAAAGUAUCAAUUGGAGGGCAAGUCUGGUGCCAGCAGCCGCGGUAAUUCCAGCUCCAAUAGCGUAUAUUAAAAUUGUUGCAGUUAAAAAGCUCGUAGUUGAAUUUCUGUUAAAAAUAACCGGUCUGCUUUUAUUAAAAGUGGUAUCUUGGUGUGUUUUUAGCAAUAAUGUCCUUUGAAAUGUUUUUUACUUUAUUGUAAUAAGUCAUUAUUUUGAGGAUUUUUACUUUGAGAAAAUUAGAGUGUUUCUAGCAGGCUUACGCUUUUGAAUACUGCAGCAUGGAAUAAUAAGAUAGGAUUUUAGUUCUACAUUAUUGGUUUUAAGAACUAAAUUAAUGAUUGAUAGGGAUAGUUGGGGGCAUUUGUAUUUAACUGUCAGAGGUGAAAUUCUUAGAUUU
RNAcentral lists this ribosomal RNA (587 nucleotides) under Hepatozoon sp. RNAcentral's name for it is "bacterial SSU rRNA". It matches the Rfam family "Eukaryotic small subunit ribosomal RNA", at positions 351 to 927 of the family's 1831-position model. Lineage: Eukaryota; Apicomplexa; Hepatozoidae. The record is from RNAcentral.